CCCUACGGGAGGCAGCAGUGAGGAAUAUUGGUCAAUGGGCGAGAGCCUGAACCAGCCAAGUCGCGUGAGGGAGUACUGCCCUAUGGGUUGUAAACCUCUUUUGUCGGGGAGCAAACGCCGGACGUGUCCGGCUUUGCGCGUACCCGAAGAAACAGCAUCGGCUAACUCCGUGCCAGCAGCCGCGGUAAUACGGAGGAUGCGAGCGUUAUCCGGAUUUAUUGGGUUUAAAGGGUGCGCAGGCGGAUUUUUAAGUCAGCGGUCAAAUCGUGGGGCUCAACCCCAUCCAGCCGUUGAAACUGGGGAUCUAGAGUGUGCGAGAGGUAUGCGGAAGGCGUGGUGUAGCGGUGAAAUGCAUAGAUAUCACGCAGAACCCCGAUUGCGAAGGCAGCAUACCGGUGCACAACUGACGCUCAGGCACGAAAGCGUGGGUAUCGAACAGGAUUAGAUACCCCUGUAGUC
This 459-nucleotide ribosomal RNA is filed under the name uncultured bacterium. RNAcentral describes it as "partial 16S ribosomal RNA". It matches the Rfam family "Bacterial small subunit ribosomal RNA", at positions 337 to 795 of the family's 1533-position model. The record is from RNAcentral.